This 416-nucleotide ribosomal RNA is filed under the name uncultured bacterium. RNAcentral's name for it is "bacterial SSU rRNA". It matches the Rfam family "Bacterial small subunit ribosomal RNA", at positions 355 to 775 of the family's 1533-position model. The record is from RNAcentral.
UCGAGGAUCUUCGGCAAUGAGCGCAAGCUUGACCGAGCGACGCCGCGUGCGGGAUGAAGGCCUUCGGGUUGUAAACCGCUUUGGUCCGAGAGUAAGGCAGAGCAAUCUGCUUGAACAAUCGGAGAAACAAGCACGGGCUAAGUUCGUGCCAGCAGCCGCGGUAAGACGAACCGUGCGAACGUUGUUCGGAAUCACUGGGCUUAAAGGGCGCGUAGGCGGCCGGGUUGGUCGUGGGUGAAAUCCCCCAGCUCAACUGGGGAAUUGCCUACGAUACUGCCUGGCUCGAGGGAGGAAGGGGCGGCCGGAACUGUCGGUGGAGCGGUGAAAUGCGUUGAGAUCGACAGGAACGCCGGUGGCGAAAGCGGGCCGCUGGCCCUCUUCUGACGCUGAGGCGCGAAAGCCAGGGGAGCGAACGG